UCUACCCUUUGGCCUGGAAUAACACGAGGAAACUUGUGCUAAUACCGGAUAAGUCUUUACGGAGAAAGCUUUAUGCACCAUUGGAUGAGCCUGCACUUGAUUAGUUUGUUGGUGGGGUAAUGGCCUACCAAGACUGUGAUCAAUAGCUGAUUUGAGAGGAUGAUCAGCCACAUUGGGACUGAGACACGGCCCAAACUCCUACGGGAGGCAGCAGUGGGGAAUCUUGCACAAUGGAGGAAACUCUGAUGCAGCGAUGCCGCGUGAGUGAAGAAGGCCCUUGGGUUGUAAAGCUCUUUCGUCGGGG
Molecule: ribosomal RNA, 304 nt
Filed under: uncultured bacterium
Lineage: Bacteria
Description: bacterial SSU rRNA
Rfam family: Bacterial small subunit ribosomal RNA
Source: RNAcentral